Nothoprocta perdicaria is the source of this 218-nucleotide long non-coding RNA. RefSeq lists it as uncharacterized. The record is from RefSeq and is a predicted model, not a curated record. The transcript has 3 exons. NCBI's taxonomy places the organism in Eukaryota, Metazoa, Chordata, Aves, Tinamiformes, Tinamidae.
AAUCGGGACAAUCGGACAGUUCCAACCAGCAGGGGGACGUGGACGUYAAACCGCUGCCCAAUGGCCACCUGGCCUUCCAGGACUGCUUUGUCACCUCGGGCGUCUGGAACGCCACCGAGCUGGUGAGGGUGUCACAGACGCCUGUGGCCCCCCCCGCGGGCGGGGGCUUCUCGCUGGCCGAGCUCGAGGGUCCCGGCGGCUUCUACGGGGGCCUCGCG